Molecule: long non-coding RNA, 333 nt
Organism: Etheostoma cragini (Arkansas darter)
Lineage: Eukaryota; Metazoa; Chordata; Actinopteri; Perciformes; Percidae
Exons: 3
Source: RefSeq, a predicted model, not a curated record
UGCGUCUGGAAGCUCUGUCUGGAAGUUAAAAUGUAUGCAUGCAUAUAAGAAACCAGUCAUAUUUCUUAACAUGGAACCACUGACACUCAACAUGGUGCAUAUCAUGUGAUUGUUCUGAUGUUUGUCUCUUCCUGUCUUUUUUCAGCUCAGCAGAUAACACUUCCUCCACCACCUGCAAGAAACCAGCUGGUUGCCCAGAGGAGGAUGAGUCUUUAGUGACCCUACCACGGAUUGCCACUUCAUCUUGGGUCCCAGUUGAAGAAGAACUCACACAGAGGGAGGUAAGUCAUACCACAGAGGGAGGUGGCUCAGACAUGGAGAUCAAAAUGAGAG